Molecule: transfer RNA, 72 nt
Filed under: Camelus bactrianus (Bactrian camel)
Lineage: Eukaryota; Metazoa; Chordata; Mammalia; Artiodactyla; Camelidae
Also listed under: 1 other name
Rfam family: tRNA
About the family: Transfer RNA (tRNA) molecules are approximately 80 nucleotides in length. Their secondary structure includes four short double-helical elements and three loops (D, anti-codon, and T loops). Further hydrogen bonds mediate the characteristic L-shaped molecular structure. tRNAs have two regions of fundamental functional importance: the anti-codon, which is responsible for specific mRNA codon recognition, and the 3' end, to which the tRNAs corresponding amino acid is attached (by aminoacyl-tRNA synthetases). tRNAs cope with the degeneracy of the genetic code in two manners: having more than one tRNA (with a specific anti-codon) for a particular amino acid; and 'wobble' base-pairing, i.e. permitting non-standard base-pairing at the 3rd anti-codon position.
Source: Rfam by way of RNAcentral
GAGGGUAUAGCUCAGUGGUAGACUGCAUGCCUAGCAUGCACAAGGUUCUGGGUUCGAACCCCAGUGCCUCUA